Molecule: ribosomal RNA, 478 nt
Filed under: uncultured bacterium
Lineage: Bacteria
Description: partial 16S ribosomal RNA
Rfam family: Bacterial small subunit ribosomal RNA
Source: RNAcentral
GACGAACGCUGGCGGCGUGCUUAACACAUGCAAGUCGAACGGUAAGGCCCUUCGGGGUACACGAGUGGCGAACGGGUGAGUAACACGUGGGUGAUCUGCCCUGCACUUCGGGAUAAGCCUGGGAAACUGGGUCUAAUACCGGAUAGGACCACUGCCUGCAUGGGUGGUGGUGGAAAGCGUUUGCGGUGUGGGAUGGGCCCGCGGCCUAUCAGCUUGUGGGUGGGGUGAUGGCCUACCAAGGCGACGACGGGUAGCCGGCCUGGGAGGGUGACCGGCCACACUGGGACUGAGAUACGGCCCAGACUCCUACGGGAGGCAGCAGUGGGGAAUAUUGCACAAUGGGCGCAAGCCUGAUGCAGCGACGCCGCGUGAGGGAUGACGGCCUUCGGGUUGUAAACCUCUUUCAGCACCGACGAAGCGCAAGUGACGGUAGGUGCAGAAGAAGGACCGGCCAACUACGUGCCAGCCGCCGCCGUAA